AUUGAACGCUGGCGGCAGGCCUAACACAUGCAAGUCGAACGAGUGGCGGACGGGUGAGUAAUGUCUGGGAAACUGCCCGAUGGAGGGGGAUAACUACUGGAAAAGGUAGCUAAUACCGCAUACCAUCGGAUGUGCCCAGAUGGGAUUAGCUAGUAGUUGGGGUAACGGCUCACCUAGUCGACGAACCCUAACUGGUAUGAGAGGAUGACCAUCCAGACUGGAACUGAGACACGGUCCAGGUGCCUACGGUGGGCAGCAGUGGGGAAUAUUGCACAAUGGGCGCAAGCCUGAUGCAGCCAUGCCGCGUGUAUGAAGAAGGCCUUCGGGUUGUAAAGUACUUUCAGCGAGGAGGCGUUACUCGCAGAAGAAGCACCGGCUAACUCCGUGCCAGCAGCCGCGGUAAUUC
RNAcentral lists this ribosomal RNA (406 nucleotides) under uncultured bacterium. RNAcentral describes it as "partial 16S ribosomal RNA". It matches the Rfam family "Bacterial small subunit ribosomal RNA", at positions 30 to 526 of the family's 1533-position model. The record is from RNAcentral.